GUCCGAACCCAACUGCCACCUCCUUCAAUCUUCAAGCCCCCCAAAAGAAGAAAUUCAAGAUUCUUUACCUACCUGUAACCACAACCCUCACAUUUCACCCUGUUUGAUUAUGCGUGUAUCUUUCUUCUACGUAUAUUUUUCACAGAAGAUGUACAUUUUAUAGAGCAGAAUCGACUCGUCCAUUAACGAGCCAGCCGACGAUCGACCGUGAGCCUUGUUGAUAUCAGAAUAGACAUCGAUGGUUUCUUUCGGCUACCGGCGGUCUAAUUCAUAGUUAUUUCCUCCAUUUAUGAUAAUCGAUAGGCGUUCUUGCUACAGCAGCUUUCUUAUACUAAGCGUCCUGACGAGCCCCUCAAGCUCUCCAUUCUCAAAUUGAAUAGCUCAUGUUUCCAUAAUUGUUGAAUUCAUUUUAGGGAUGUUUUGGUUCCUGAGAAAUUGUGGUAAAAUGGCACAGAUUUUUGGGUUUAAUGAGUUAGAGAUUGAUUGGGGGUUUUGUUUUUACAGACAUUCAAGUUAUGAAGUCAGCUUCCAUUGCAAAACUGAACUGAGACAGGCGGUGGAGGCUUUCUUUAGUGAUAGACCACAAAAAGGACCUCCAAAGAUUCUAUGAUGCACGGAAAGUGGCGUUUCUCGUGUCAAAAAAGUUCCGACAUGGAAAAGCCAUGACACGGCAGCGAGACGUUUCCGAGCCGCUUCUGGAAUUUUUAAAAAUUGGAAACACGUGUCCUUGCCUUGUCCAGCUAUCGUCGCGCCGUGUCAGAAAGACAAAAGAAGAAGAAAAGGAGGAGGAGGACUUAUCUGGUGGUUGGUAGUGACGGACAACAGCAAUGGCAGAACUGAUUUUGCAGGUACCAGUUAACAGCUUCCUUAUGGUACCUCAACAGAAGCACGUUUAACUUGGGAGCUCCUCCCAAAAGCAAUUGCUGAUAGUAAAUGCGCACCCUAUUUCUUUUAAGGUAUUGUAGAGCCUUGCAUCUUACGUGUUGCGAGCAGGCGUAGGGAUUUUGCAAUGCGCCUUUUUGACACAUCGUUCGACCGGGCAAUAAAUUCUCAAAGCACCAUGUCCAUACAUGGUAUUGGAGUCAAGGUUGAUUGUUGCCUCCAUAUGACCAACAGUCUCAUUGACAAAAGAUAAUAGUUUUGGUUUUGGUAAUAAUGUAAGGAAUUGCAGAAAAUGGUUAUUGUAUAAAUUUCUGUUAUUAGUGGAUGUAUUUGUCCUUUGUUUUUGUUCACUUGAAAAAUGUUCAACAUAAAGAUUGCUG
This 1262-nucleotide unclassified non-coding RNA is filed under the name Hevea brasiliensis (rubber tree). The record is from RNAcentral. Lineage: Eukaryota; Viridiplantae; Streptophyta; Magnoliopsida; Malpighiales; Euphorbiaceae.